This 75-nucleotide transfer RNA is filed under the name Gammaproteobacteria bacterium. Its description in RNAcentral is "tRNA-His". It matches the Rfam family "tRNA". From Rfam's summary of the family: Transfer RNA (tRNA) molecules are approximately 80 nucleotides in length. Their secondary structure includes four short double-helical elements and three loops (D, anti-codon, and T loops). Lineage: Bacteria; Pseudomonadati; Pseudomonadota; Gammaproteobacteria. The record is from RNAcentral.
GCGGCUCUAGCUUAAUGAUAAAGCCCUUGGAUGUGACCCAAGAAGAUGCGAGUUCGAGUCUCGUGAGUCGCCCCA